GUUUCCGGGAUCUGGCGGGGCCUUUGUCUUGUGCUCCAGCUGGAGCUUUGGUCCCGUAUUCUCGGCUAUUUAUCCCCAGCUGCGGGAGGCCCUGGUGACUCUGCUGCUGCAGUGUCUGGUUUCCCUGUGACCUGCAGGUACUGGGAGUUACAUAGCUAAGAUGCCAGGACACCCCGAAAGCCGGAAAACGAGACGCAUUCUCACUAUGUUGCCCAGGCUGGUCUUGAACUCCUUCCCUCAAGUGAUUCUUCUGCCUAAUCCUCCCAAAGUUCUUAGAUUACUCAUGAAUGGAUUGGUGUUCUUACCACUGCAGUUAGUGUGUUCUCUGUUAGUUCAUGUGAAAGCUGGUUGUUAAAAACAAAAACAAACAAACAAAAAACUGAUAUUCCUCUUGCUUUGUCUUUUGCCAUGAUACCCCUUUGCCUUUUAUUAUGCAUAAAAGCUUCCUGAGGCCUCAUCAGAAGUUAAGCAGAUGUUGAUGUCAUGCUUGUAUAGCCAACAGAACUGAGGCUAAUAAACCUCUUUUCUGUAUUAAUUUGCCAGUGUUAAGUAUUCCCUUCUAGCAGCACAAAAUGGACUAACAUCCCAUAGGUUAUAUUUUUAUUUUUUUCUUUUGUAAAUACUGGACAAUGAUACUCUUAUAUAAUCUUCAGUAUAACCAUUAUAAUUGCCCACUAUAAAGGAGUAUAAUGAAAGGCCAUGUAUUUUGAAUCACGAAUGACUAUUUACAAAAUGUCAUACUACGUUUUUCUUUGAGCCUGUGACCCCUCUGGCCUGUAAAAACACAUACAUACAUUUAGUUUUGAUUAACAUGGAGUUAAUUUUAUAAGUCUGUCACUCUAAACAUAAGUGUUAGCUUUAAGAGAAUUACAGAGCAUGUAAUUGUGUUUGAGUGUAGGUGUGUACUUUUUUGAGAAGAAAACAAAAAUAUUGGAACAAAAUAUAAUUUAAAAAGUAUUGGUAAUUUACUAGCAAACUAGGAAUCUCAAAGAUUCUGAAAGUAAAUAUUUAUUCUCUGCUUUGUAUUGAAUUUACUUCUGUAAAAUCUUAUGGCUGCUGGCUCAGAAUCUUCUCAUGCAAAUCCUGUUUUUUUCUUGUCUGUUGAUCAUACUAAACCUAAUGUAUAGUUUUCUCAUUCCAAAGUUCAUGAAAUUUUCUCUAUAUUCCUGAGAAAUUCUAAGAAUAACUUUCAUAAAAUGUAUUGAUGUUCACAAGAUAAUUUUAAGAUGUAAUUCUACAAUAUGUGUGUUACUACAUUUUAUUUAAUUAGUAUAUUUUAUUUUUGUAUUUCAAUUGGAGAACCCUAUUUUGGCCAAUUUUUACUUGGUUUUUGUUUCCAUUUUAAUAUUUUACAUAAUUGAAUUUUUUUCACUUUAUUGAGCCAUUUUGUUUAGAUGUACACUGGGAAGGCUUCAUAAUUCACAAAGUUGUUUUGACAUAUAAAUGAGGUGAACAAACACAGGAAAGUGCUAGGUUUCCUGGGGGUAUAAUAGAUGCUCUAUAAUUAGCAGUAAAUAUUCUUGUUUAAGUCACUUUUUGGCUACAAGUAAGAGAUUAGAAAUAUUCAGCAUAAAGAGAUGGCAUUAACUCUGCAUGUAAAGAAAACACAUGUAUACCCAGGCUGUACAACUGCCUCUGAAAUUAAGAGGAAUUGUGUUUAUUUCAUAGUUAUCUCUGGUACUUCACUGUUAUUUUAUUUUCACCCCCAACUAUGCGUCAAUCAUAGCCCUUUCCCUUCUUUGCUUAUUAUGGCUACAGAUUUCUCACUGUUCUCUGCAGCCCAUGUAAUUUCAUACAGUAUUUUGUAGGUUGUGAUAAGGAAUUUGAAAUUUUUAAUAUAGUGAAAAAUUGGAUUUAACUGGAGAGUUUGAGGACAUUUUUAAGUUAGAAAUGCACCAUUUGAAUCAUUUAAUUGGCAUAAUUGGGAUGUACUCUACACAGUUUAUAGGAUUAAAUUACUGAGUUAGUAAUGUUUGUAUGAAAGAAAUGUUAUUAGAUUCUACCACAAAAUAUAGUAAACAUGAAAUCAGUUAGAAUAGGUAAAGCAUUAAUAAUGGUAGGCUAUAUAUCAUAAUCACUAUAUAAAGAAACAUCAGAAUUUGGAAACCCCUUAAGCAAAAAUAUAUCUUAGAAAUCUUAAGGACACUUAAUGGCAAGCAAAAAAGUUUAAAUUUAGUUUUUUAUAAAUUACAUAUAGCACAAUUUAUGUGUACAUGUAGAAUCUUUUAGUUUUUAGUGUUUAUGUAAUAUAUUAGACAAUAAUAAACAUUUACAUUUAUGUUUACAUUUAUAUUUAAUUUUUCAAAUUUAAUUUAAAUUUCUAAAUGCUUCUGUGGAUUUAAAUUUUGGAAUAAUCUUUUCUUCCCCAUUGAUACUGGAAUCUUGGGAAGUUUCUUACUCAUAUCACAAUAUGUUUUAUUUAAAUGGAUGCAGCUUACAUUGCAGAGUUUAUAUAAAUAAUCACAUAACAAGCCAAUUCCUUAGUCAUUUUCUGUAUUAAAAAACUCAGAGAUCUAGAGAGCUUUUGGAUUGAAAUAUUUCCUUGGUGAUUUUGGAUGCAAACCUGAUUUCUGUGUUCACACCAUGGCCAGAGAUGGGACUGUUAGCACCACCUGCUUCUUUAAUGUCGUCCAUAUGAUCAGCAUCAGCACCAGAAACUCCAGGUGUCCCAAACUUAAAGUGAAAGCCAUAGAGUCCUUUGGUGACUCCCAUGUUCUGUGCUGGUUCUAGAACAUGCUGGUAAAUAUCAGAGUUUCUAUGCUUAUGGCUGAUAAGUAGACAUUUUUAAAAAUCAUAAAAACUGUAUUUUCUAUAUAGUUCAGCUAAGUUUAUGAAAAAGAUGCAGACUCAGUAUUUGGAGCAUUGCUAUCGCUCCAUGAUGUGUUUAAAAAUUAUUUUUAAAUUGACAAAAUUUUAUAUCUACAUAUAUAUAUAUCUUGUAACACAUGAUGUUUGAAAUGCUUAAUUCUAGCCAAUUAAAAAUGCUUUACCUCAAUAGUUAUUUUUAUUGUGAGAAAGGUCAACAUGGUCUUGGCACUUAAAAAAAAAAAAA
Molecule: long non-coding RNA, 3052 nt
Filed under: Homo sapiens (human)
Lineage: Eukaryota; Metazoa; Chordata; Mammalia; Primates; Hominidae
Description: long non-coding RNA NONHSAT009928.2
Source: RNAcentral